Rhagoletis pomonella (apple maggot) is the source of this 6916-nucleotide RNA transcript. It is a transcript of the gene named signal transducer and transcription activator-like, with no coding region annotated. The transcript has 12 exons. The record is from RefSeq and is a predicted model, not a curated record. Lineage: Eukaryota; Metazoa; Arthropoda; Insecta; Diptera; Tephritidae.
CCAUUAUAAAAAAAAUUUUAUAAAUUUCGCAUGCUUCAACGAUAAUUGGCAAGUAAAAAAAAAAAAAAUACAAAAAUCAAAAGAAUACAUAUGGUCACCUCACCCACUCAUCAACACAUUCGGGCGCGCGACACUCAAAUCUCUAAACAUUUUCGUUUGUGAAGUGCCUUCAUUGGAGUUGUCAUAGACUGUCGUGCAGGGGCAUCACCACCAACUCCACCAUCACCACUACCAAUACCAACACCACCACCACUACUAUCACUACAGCCACAGCUACAACCACUAAUGCGCUUACAAUCACUUAUUAUACAUAGGUUGCAGGACAUCCUCAUCGACGUAAUUGUAACACAUGUGUGGCAACGCAUAUUCUAAAUUGAUCGAAUUAAAUAAUAAUAAGCAAAUUGAAAGUCUUAUGCGGUUUUGGCAUCAUCGAUUUGCCACAUACAUAGUUUGUUUGUGCAUAAAGUCCACAAGUUAAUUUUGAAGGCAGGAUUUGACAAGGGUAUAAAUCAUAAAUUCACAAGUUGCUCAUUGCACUCAGCGCCCACCACAAUGAGUUUGUGGAAGCGUAUCGCAUGCUUUCCAGAGCUCGAAAAACGCAUGACUCAGUACUAUGAUGGGAAGGGCCUCGCCGAGAUACGCGUGCAAUUCGCAGCAUGGAUUGAAGAUACUUUAAUGAGCCAACAACAACCGCCGGCUAGCGAUAAAAUUUUCGAACAAUUAGUUAACUCAUUCUACGAGGGCCUCAAGCAGAAGCUCAUUACUUUAGAUGGUGAUAAUUUGUUUAAAUUUAAGAUACGGGAAAUUUGCACACAUCUUGGACAAACAACACCCAUUGAGCUCUAUACGUACGUUCGUAACGGUCUGCUCCGUGAAAUUCAGGCAUUGAAGGAAAUGCCACAAAAUCCCUACAUGUAUAAUCCGGCAGUUGUAGGUUGUAAUGGGAUGGGUAUGAAUACGGGUAAUCCCUAUAUGGGUAGCGUCGGCGCUCACCUUGCUGAUGUACGUAUGACCGAGGAUACUUAUGCUUUGCCGGCGCGCAUACAAAAAUUGGCAGUCGAUGUUGACAAUAUGCGUUUGGCCAUACAAGGUUUGCAAGGCGAACAAGAAGCUGUGGUAAAAUAUUUCAAUCAAACGCGUGCAAUGGUGACGCCACAAGAGUUGGAGGAGCUGGAUAAUCAGUAUAAGCAACAAUAUCUGAUUUUGUGCAAUCGCAAGAAUGGUGUAGUUGAUGAUUUACGACGCGUAAUCAGCGAAUAUGACACCAUACAAGAUCAAGUGAUAAUGGCACUGAAAAUGUGGCAACGAAAUCAGGCGCUCGCUGGAAAUGGUGCGCCAUUCCAUGAUAAUUUGGAUGAUAUACAACGCUGCGUAGAGAUGUUGGUCGAUAUGGUCUCCAAAAUUCACGCUUUUGUCAACAAUCUGAUCUUGAUGAGCAUGGGUGAGACUGAGGACCCGAUACUGGCUGAGAUGCUCAACCACGUACGUUCUGUACAAAGGUUACUGGUCUUGUCGGCGUUUAUUGUAGAGCGGCAGCCACCUCAAGUAAUGAAAACACAAACGAGAUUCGCUGCAGCUGUACGAUGGUUAAUUGGCCCACAACUUGGCGUAUAUACGAACACUCCAGUUAUUGAAUGCGUUAUACUUUCAGAGGCCCAAGCACAACGCCAUGCAGCAAAUAACAGUAAUUCUGAUAUGCAACCUGGUUCUCCACCCCAAUCGUCCGGCGAAAUCAUAAAUAACAUAAGCACAAUGGAAUAUCAGCAAGCCACACGCGUAUUUUCAGCAAGUUUUAGAAAUAUGCAAUUAAAGAAAAUUAAGCGCGCCGAAAAGAAAGGAACAGAAAGCGUAAUGGAUGAAAAAUUCUCCCUACUCUUCUACACAACAGUGGUUUUCAAUGAAUUCAAAAUAAGUUGCUGGACACUUUCCUUGCCCGUUGUUGUGAUUGUGCAUGGCAAUCAAGAGCCCCAGUCCUGGGCCACUAUCACUUGGGACAAUGCAUUUUCAGAUAUAACACGCGAACCUUUCCAAGUUCCAGAGAAAGUACGCUGGGCGCAGUUAUCAGCAGCGCUGAAUACCAAAUUUGGCUCGGCUACUGGAAGAAAUUUAACUGAAGACAAUUUAAAUUUCCUUUACGAGAAACUUUUCCGCAACGAAGCCGGCGAGCAUACUGAAUUCAUUACAUGGGCGCAAUUUUGUAAAGAGCCAUUGCCAGACCGAUCUUUUACAUUCUGGGAUUGGUUUUUUGCAAUAAUGAAAUUGACAAAGGAUCAUUUAUUAAAUCUUUGGAAAGAGGGUUUAAUUGUUGGUUUCAUAAAUAAACGCAAGACGUUGGAGGAAAUCCUGCCGAUGCAACAGUAUGGCACAUUUUUAUUGCGCUUUUCAGAUAGCGAACUAGGUGGUAUAACUGUGGCUUUUGUCGACGAUCAGGGCAACAAGCUGAUGCUGGCGCCGUGGACCUCAAGAGACUUGAAUAUACGCUGUUUGGCGGAUCGCAUACACGACUUGAACGUGCUGCGUAUUGUUUAUCCGAAGAAUUUGCCACGCGAUGAGGCAUUCGGCAGCUUUUACUCACAUCAUGUUGAUGAACAAAAAACAACGCGAGAUGGAUAUGUAGCAAGUGAUAUAAGGGUUAAUGUACCGGCCAUAGAGGGUGGCUCUGUAGUGGGUACGCCACAGCAUCAGCCGCAAGAUAUACCUAUGCCAAAUUAUAGUCUUGACGACAUCGAUUGGAGUAACGUUAUGGUCUGAAAUGGGUGGGCUGCAUAAAGGCAAUGUAUAAGUGAUUGGUGUAAUGGUCAAUUGCUUAGUGUGGAGUGCAACAUAUCAUAUGUGCUCAAUACUGUUAAGCAGUGACAAUUUUAUUUCUGAAUUUGAUUCAAUUUUAUAUUGAUGGAUGCGGAUAGACACACACGCGCGCAUGAAAAUAUACACUUAUAUACACCAUAAGAAACUGAGCCAGAAAAAGUACGCAUGGGAAAUAAAUUAUACUAAAAUAUGAACACACAUUUGAUUUUUAUGCCAUCAAAGAGCUAUGAAAAUUAUAAUUGGUUGGAAAAUGCAUUACUUCGUUUCAUAGUCAUGAGUUCACUAGCAGCAAGCAAGUAAUUACAUAUGUAUACAUAAGUAUAGUCAAAUAGCUAUUAGUAAUAACCCGCGCACACCACGCCCAUCACCACAAUCCAACCACACCAAAUAAGUGAGAUAUGCGCAUUAACAAUAUCCUUCGACGUCCAUUACUAGCCAAUACGGCCAAGCGACCAUUUCAAUCACCGACGAUGCUGAGCAUUUUCAGAUAUUGCUGAAUUUCUGGUUUUGCAUAUACGUAGUACGUGCAUGCUGGAAUUUAAGCGGAAUAAUGGAUUAAAAACCACAAAUCCUUCUGGGGACGUAAGGAUAUCCAAUUAUCAUUUCUUGUUACUACAUUAUGCGUCUACUUUCAUGUUGCAAGUCAAUGCUGAAAACACAUAACCUGCAUGCUGUGUCACCUUGAAAUUGUAAUAAGUUUGUAAUCUUAAAAGUGUUUGCCUAGUUUUCUUCUACUACUCUUUCUUACAAACACCCUCGCAAACUUUUAUUCAUGUUUGUGGUUAAUAUGCGCAUAGUUUAAAAGUAAAUGUAAUAUUUUUACACUCGUCGUUGCCUUAUAUAUUUACACUAAAUUUUGUUUGUUUAUAUAUUUUUGAACUGUUUUUAAUAGUGAAAUGAACUAUUCGAUGUAUUGUACUAGUUUAUUAAUGAUACCUGUUGUGUUGUGGUAAACCAAACAAAACUGAAAUAUACAAAUUUAAUUUUUGUUUAAUGCAUGCGAAAAGGGCUUUAUAUUACGUAAAAAAAUAUGUAGACAUUACAUUUAAAUGUUUAAAUAAGUGAAGACUAAAAUAGGUUUAACGUAAGAGCAUAUAAAGUGAAAUUGUGAAGCAAAGAGAUAGAAAAUAAAUAUUAACGGCAAACCAGUCAACGAUAAAUGUUGAAUGUUUCAUGAUAAUUGUGAAUACGUAAUUUAAGUGUAAUUAAUUUAAGCAAUGAAAGUAUGAGUAUACUCACUUAAACGAAAUUUACUAGAGGGCGAAAUAUUCAAGUAUGGUUAUACAAACUUAUUUGAAAUUUAUUUAAAGUGUUUUUUGUUCUUACAAAAUUCUGCGUGGUUGUGCAAAUAAUAUGUGGUCAAAUAAAUAGAGCCAAGAUAAGAAUAAAUUGUGUGGUUCUUUUGAAAUUGAAUAAUCUUUUUUCAAUGCAGCUAAACUUAAACAAUUUUUUUUUAGUUUUUCGCAUAACAGAAAGUAUCACCUGGAACUGGGAGGUCGCCGCUCUAACACAUACCAUACCAGUUGAUGUACUAGCAGGUUUGCUAGAAUGUUUGGCUUUUCACUGCAGCCCAAUUACUGGAAAUUUAUAACAGCAAGGAAUCAAUAUCGACGUCAUAUACUCAACCCCCUCUAAAAAUGUACAAAUUUUACAAAAACUAGUUCCUGACAUAAGCAUCUAUUUUAGGCCUAUCCUUAUGGUUUAAAAUAAUACCAAAGUUGAAGUCGCAGAUGUAUUCAAAUAUCAGAAACAAUUUUUUGUGAGAACUGCAGAUUGAGGGUAUUGAUUAUAAGCCCUCUCUUGGCAAGAGAAACACAUGAGAAAAUCAAAAAAUUUAGGCUCUAUUGAUUGUCCACAUGUGUAUAUGUACUAUACGUACAUAUACAUACUAUUAUUUUCCUUUUACAUUGGAUUUUUUUUCUAGUAUUAUUUACCGGGCAAGUUCGCUAUAUGGUUUUGAGUUUCUGUAGCUAAAAUUUGAAAAAGGUAAUUCACAUUUUUUAAGUGCAGUAUUUUAUUUUUUCAAAAUCUAUUUUUUUUUUUAUGAAAUUCGUAUAUGCCUUUGAUUCGCUUCAAGCUAUAUUAUACUUAAAUUUUUGUGGCAUUCUUCGUGCAUCUCCUUCCCUUUUCAUCAAAUACAAUACUUACUUACAUAUAUUAUAAGCAAACAAAUUUGACAUACUUUUCUUAUGGUAUGUAAGUCUUCGGGGUUUUAAUAUGAAUUCUUAUACAUACAUUAAAAAAAGUGCAUCAAACUUAAUUUAAAUAAGUAUUUAAUAAUAUAAAUAAAAUUUUGAUUAUCAAUUUCUUUCAAAGAGCAGGCGGUGUAUAUUUAACAAAUGUAUAACUAUAUGUAAUUUGGAAAACGUUUAUUGAAGUUGACCGCUCGAACGUAACAUUGAUUUGUGAUUUUUCUUACAAAAUUUUUAGUAAUUGGCUUCCACUUUCGUUUUUCUAUAAUAGUUAUUUAGUAAUAAUUAAAAUAAAUGCAUAUUAAGUUUGUAAAAAGGAAUUAAGAAAUUGCAGUUUGUUGUUGGUUUGGCUUGUGUUGUAAAGAUAAAUAGUUUGUAAGAAGGGAAAUUAAAUACAUUAAAUGUAUUAAAACUCAUCCGAAUUCACGAUUCACAUAUGUAUGUGUGUAUGUAUGCAUAUGGAUGUCAAGUCAAAAGGUAUAUUUUUAGUGUUAGAAAAUAGUUGAAAAAUGAUAUACAUGCAUAAGUAAAUGUACGUUUAAUUUUACAAUAAGCAGCAUUAAUAUUCGCUUAUCUUUAAAUAUGCGGUUAUUUUCUUAAUUUCUAAUCAAAGUUUGUAAACAAUUUUUUGGACCGAGGGUAGUAGUUACUUGCAUAGGGUGCUAUAUUUCUUAAACAAAAAAAAAACUUGUAAAAACUUACUAAAAUAAGGGUAAUCACAAUAUUGUGCGAAAGGCCUGGCAUGCACAUAUUUCGGUGCGUUUGUAAAAUUUAUCUGCAAAGCAAUAUACAUUUUCAUUCUUGUGAAUGUGCAUGAAAUGAGAUUGUGAUUACCCGCAAUACGUACAUAUUUCACAGGGUUAGACCAAAUAAUCACUCGCAAUUUUUCGCAGCACCGCUACAACGCAAUUCUAUUUCUUUUGUAUUUAGGAUGCGAAUAUUAUUGAUGCUAAUUGUAUGCAUACUGAGAGUAUGCACUACUCUUCAAUUGAAAAAUCGCGCAUAGAAAUUUAAAUUUACAAAUUAAAUUUUACCAUACACACUAUGUAUAUUAUAUUCUACAUACAUAUGCAUAUAUAUAAUAAUAAAGCAAAAAUAAAUAUAUAAAUGAAAUUUAUAUGGAGCAUGUUAAAAUUGAAAACUUAUUUAAUUACACUCAAAUUAAAGUCUAGUUUUUAAGCCCACAUAAAAUGUUUACUUGUAUGAUGUUUAUGUGUUUAUAAUAUGUCUGCUAUAAACUGAAUGUUCACAUGUCAGCCAUAUUUACAACCUACUUUGUAUACCUACAUACAUAUGUAUACACAACUCUGAAGAACUACAUAAACUUUUUACUAAAAAAAGCAUAGUUUAAAUUGCGACGCACUGGAUUUGAAGGAGUCUGAUGUUACGACAGCGAAGAGUUCAAAACGUAAUACUACCAGCAGCCUCUUGAACCUAAUUCGUAUAAACUAAAAAAUCGUUGACUGUUCAGCGUAAGCAAUAAAUUUUACACACACACACACACACUUACAAAAUGUACUCGAUAGUACUCGAUCUUUUUUAACAGAAUUUCUAUAUUUCUAUGCAAAAUACCCAAUAUGGAUGUAUUUUUUUAAUCGGAUUUUAUUAGCCACAAACAUACAUACAUAUGUAUAUGCAUGUACUAUUCUCUUUAAUGUACUCGAGCCUUUAACGAUGCAUUCACAAUGCACAUACAUCAACGUUAAAUGUUAAUGAUAAUGAAAUUAAAAUAAAAAGUACAUCGAAGUAAAUUAUACUACAAUUUAUGGAAUAAUGAUGAAGAAAACAUCAUUGCACAAUUGCACACAUGUAGCAUCCUUUUGGUGGCGAAUUAAAUGUAUGUUAUGUAUUGCAAAUUUAUUUACAGCAACACUGAAAAUAAUAAAUGAGUAAAUAAAGCAAAUUUGUGAAACUUA